UAAUACGUAGGGGGCAAGCGUUGUCCGGAAUCAUUGGGCGUAAAGCGCGUGUAGGCGGUCCGGUAAGUCGGCUGUGAAAGUCCAGGGCUCAACCCUGGGAUGCCGGUCGAUACUGCCGGACUAGAGUUCGGAAGAGGCGAGUGGAAUUCCCGGUGUAGCGGUGAAAUGCGCAGAUAUCGGGAGGAACACCAAUGGCGAAGGCAGCUCGCUGGGACGUUACUGACGCUGAGACGCGAAAGCGUGGGGAGCAAACAGGAUUAGAUACCCUGGUAGUCCACGCCGUAAACGAUGGGUACUAGGUGCCUGGGGGAGCGACCCUCUGGGUGCCGGCGCUAACGCAGGAAGUACCCCGCCUGGGGAGUACGACCGCAAGGUUG
RNAcentral lists this ribosomal RNA (377 nucleotides) under uncultured bacterium. RNAcentral describes it as "bacterial SSU rRNA". It matches the Rfam family "Bacterial small subunit ribosomal RNA", at positions 521 to 896 of the family's 1533-position model. The record is from RNAcentral.